CGGGUGAGUAACGCGUGGGUAACCUGCCUCAUACAGGGGGAUAACAGUUAGAAAUGACUGCUAAUACCGCAUAAGCGCACAGUACCACAUGGUACGGUGUGAAAAACUCCGGUGGUAUGAGAUGGACCCGCGUCUGAUUAGCUAGUUGGUGAGGUAACGGCUCACCAAGGCGACGAUCAGUAGCCGACCUGAGAGGGUGAUCGGCCACAUUGGGACUGAGACACGGCCCAA
This 231-nucleotide ribosomal RNA is filed under the name uncultured bacterium. RNAcentral describes it as "partial 16S ribosomal RNA". It matches the Rfam family "Bacterial small subunit ribosomal RNA", at positions 103 to 334 of the family's 1533-position model. The record is from RNAcentral.